RNAcentral lists this ribosomal RNA (500 nucleotides) under uncultured Glomeromycotina. RNAcentral's name for it is "partial small subunit ribosomal RNA". It matches the Rfam family "Eukaryotic small subunit ribosomal RNA", at positions 591 to 1092 of the family's 1831-position model. Lineage: Eukaryota; Fungi; Glomeromycota. The record is from RNAcentral.
CCAAUAGCGUAUAUUAAAGUUGUUGCAGUUAAAAAGCUCGUAGUUGAAUUUCGGGAUCAUCAGGUUGGUCGUGCCUCUGGUAUGUACUGAUUUCGAUGGUUCCUCCUUCUUGAAGAUCCGUAAUGCCAUUAAUUUGGUGUUGCGGGGAAUUAGGACUGUUACUUUGAAAAAAUUAGAGUGUUUAAAGCAGGCAAUCGCUUGAAUACAUUAGCAUGGAAUAAUGAAAUAGGACGUUCGAUCCUAUUUUGUUGGUUUCUAGGAUUGACGUAAUGAUUAAUAGGGAUAGUUGGGGGCAUUAGUAUUCAAUUGUCAGAGGUGAAAUUCUUGGAUUUAUUGAAGACUAACUACUGCGAAAGCAUUUGCCAAGGAUGUUUUCAUUAAUCAAGAACGAAAGUUAGGGGAUCGAAGACGAUCAGAUACCGUCGUAGUCUUAACCAUAAACUAUGCCGACUAGGGAUCGGAUGAUGUUAAUUUUUUAAUGACUCAUUCGGCGCCUUACG